Molecule: transfer RNA, 76 nt
Filed under: Chloroflexota bacterium
Lineage: Bacteria; Bacillati; Chloroflexota
Also listed under: 2 other names
Description: Chloroflexi bacterium tRNA-Gly
Rfam family: tRNA
About the family: Transfer RNA (tRNA) molecules are approximately 80 nucleotides in length. Their secondary structure includes four short double-helical elements and three loops (D, anti-codon, and T loops).
Source: RNAcentral
GCGGAAGUGGCUCAGCUGGUAGAGCAUCACCUUGCCAAGGUGAGGGUCGCGGGUUCGAAUCCCGUCUUCCGCUCCA